GAAAUAUGGAGUUGGAGGUGUUUGCAACGGUGGAGGUGGUGCAUCUGCUCUUGUGUUGGAACUUGUAUGAAGCCUGUUCGAGUCUCAACGUGUCGAUAAGAUACCGUAUCGGUCACACGGGUUGGUAGUAACUUGUUAUCUUCCUUUUUACCCUUCUAAUGAUGAUAGUCUUAGCCUUUAGGGGUCUGGAAAAGUAGAGCCUUUUGUUAAUUUGACAAAGCUUAAAGUGAAGCAGAG
This 237-nucleotide unclassified non-coding RNA is filed under the name Hevea brasiliensis (rubber tree). Lineage: Eukaryota; Viridiplantae; Streptophyta; Magnoliopsida; Malpighiales; Euphorbiaceae. The record is from RNAcentral.